GACGAACGCUGGCGGCGUGCUUAACAAAUGCAAGUCGAGCGAUGAAGCUUCUUCGGAAGUGGAUUAGCGGCGGACGGGCGAGUAACACGUGGGCAACCUGCCGUGUAGCGGGGGAUAGACUUCCGAAAGGAAGAUUAAUACCGCAUAACAUAGCGAACUCGAACGGGUUUGCUAUCAAAGAUUUAUCGCUACAAGAUGGGCCCGCGUCGCAUUAGCUAAUUGGUGAGGUAACAGCUCACCAAGGCCACGAUGCGUAGCCGACCUGAGAGGGUGAUCGGCCACAUUGGAACUAAGACACGGUCCAGACUCCUACGGGAGGCAGCAGUGGGGAAUAUUGCACAAUGGGCGAAAGCCUGAUGCAGCAACGCCGCGUGAGUGAUGAAGGUCUUCGGAUUGUAAAGCUCUUUGAUUAGGGACGAUAAUGACGGUACCUAAAGAACAAGCCACGGCUAACUACGUGCCAGCCGCCGCAGUAA
This 476-nucleotide ribosomal RNA is filed under the name uncultured bacterium. Its description in RNAcentral is "partial 16S ribosomal RNA". It matches the Rfam family "Bacterial small subunit ribosomal RNA", at positions 28 to 523 of the family's 1533-position model. The record is from RNAcentral.